UGCUUGUGCCCAGGUCCCAGUGGUGGU
Molecule: non-coding RNA, 27 nt
Filed under: Mus musculus (house mouse)
Lineage: Eukaryota; Metazoa; Chordata; Mammalia; Rodentia; Muridae
Source: RNAcentral